Coregonus clupeaformis (lake whitefish) is the source of this 395-nucleotide long non-coding RNA. RefSeq lists it as uncharacterized. Lineage: Eukaryota; Metazoa; Chordata; Actinopteri; Salmoniformes; Salmonidae. The record is from RefSeq and is a predicted model, not a curated record. The transcript has 3 exons.
CAAAUCUCCACAACCUGUCAGAGUCAUAAGGACCCAGAGGAAGAAUUGGUGAGAAACAGCCAGAAACACGAUCCACAACCAUCUCUCAGAUGUUUUCCAAAGCCACAAAAGCCUUCAUGAAGGACACAGAUCAUGAUGGACGCCUUAUCCCUGUGUCCAGUCUGAACGACACAGACAGACUGAUUAUCCGAUCACUCAUUGUCAAGACCAGGCCCAGAUUCUUCUGGCAGGAACCCAAAUACCAGUCCCCUGGCUUUACCCUCAGUGAUGUCCUGAAGCCAAGAGAGCCUGGAGACUCACCUUUAAGCCCAACUGUCAAGGAGUGUGACUUUGUGGACUACACUGGGACAUUUGGUGAAAAGAAAGAAAUGAACGCAGACGGAAACGUGCAGGCA